UUUCUCUCAGUCUGUCAGUCCCACAGAGGUGCCAUCAAUCACUUGUCACUCAGCCCUCUAUCCACUCAGAUGAUUAAUUGCCUCAGGAAUAUAGACCCCACUGGGAGCUGUAGGGCAUGAUGGGAAUCUGGGACCUGUGGAGUGGAAAGAGGCUCAGAGGAAUGUAUUACACAGAAACUCUGCUGGCUCCUGGGCGAUGAUGAAUGUCUGCUACUAGCAAAUGCAUCUCAGCGUCACAGCAUUCACAAGCCACCUGCUACCUAGAGAGGAAAUAAAAGAACAGUGCUACAGAGCAGUUAUAUUUCUGUGCCGAUGGAUAACGUAAACAACACCCCCUGAUGGGGAUCUUGCACCAGAAGAAUCAUAAACCACACUCAAGUCAAACAUCACCUUUCUCCUGCCGAAAUCCUCUGCUGGACUAUACAUAUAAUCUAUGUAAUGUCUGAGAAAAAAUGAAGUUCAAGUCUGUAACAUUUUGUGGUAUGACUAUGCAUGUCAGAGAAAUAAAAGGCAUAUGACAGGUGGUACUAACCAGCCAGAGCCCAAAAAGCUUUUGACUUUACUCCCAGGCAACAGAUCCCUCAUAUUUUGUAUAAUUUAUUUCCAUUCUGUCAAAUAAGUUUGAUGUUCUCAGUUCAAUAAAACAACGAAUCUGUUUAAUUGUUAAAACGGUAGCAGUUAACACAGCAUAUUACAUACUCUCUGCUUGUGUAACAUUGCACUGCAGUUCUUUGUAAGGGCUCAGUGCUGGCCCCAGUUCUGGCAACUGAUUCACCACACACAUUUCUGGGGUUUUGUAAAACCAAAUGAGGUCAUUUAUGAAAGGGAGACUGUAAAAGCUGGAAAUCAGGGCAAUAAAUCAAAGGGAAAAGAUGCUCCAGCAGUAACUUGUAAAUAGAAAAUAAGACAAAGCACACUGUGAAAACUGACUUCUGUGCCCUGGUACAUUCAAAUUAGCUAGUGAGUGACUCUAAUUUAACCAGCUCAUGUCAAGAUGUCAAGCAUACACCUUUAGCUGACAUCUGUGCCCUGAGGAUAUAGCAUGAUGACUCAAGUAAUAACCUUUGUUUUAUCAAUAUUCAGUCAUAUAAUUAUAGUGAUUGUUGGGCAAAUGAACUUCUUAUUUUGCAAUUCAGAAUAGUUUUGUUUGGGAUUUGACUCUGGCUGCAUACACUGUUAUACACUCUGCGUCCAGAGGAUAGGAUCUGAUGUUCUGUCUCUUUUUUAAUGUGUGGCAAGUCCUUGGUUAUAUCGAUCACUUUCGAAAGGGUUAAUGAGCCCAUAGAACACAUUCCAAAUUCAACUUCUGCUUGUCGAUUUAACUCCAGUGCUUAAAUAUACAGUUAUAUAAAAGU
Alligator mississippiensis (American alligator) is the source of this 1355-nucleotide long non-coding RNA. RefSeq lists it as uncharacterized. The record is from RefSeq and is a predicted model, not a curated record. The transcript has 4 exons. NCBI's taxonomy places the organism in Eukaryota, Metazoa, Chordata, Crocodylia, Alligatoridae.